This 323-nucleotide ribosomal RNA is filed under the name uncultured eukaryote. Its description in RNAcentral is "partial 18S ribosomal RNA". It matches the Rfam family "Eukaryotic small subunit ribosomal RNA", at positions 1470 to 1796 of the family's 1831-position model. The record is from RNAcentral.
CCCUUAGAUGUUCUGGGCUGCACGCGUGCUACACUGAUAUUGCCAAUAUGUCAUUCUUAUCCGAAAUGGAUUGGGUAAUCAAGUAAUGAAAUUCCAUGCUUGGAAUCGGUAAUUGCAAUUUUAUCGUGAACGAGGAAUUCCUAGUAAGCACUAGUCAUCAGCUAAUGUUGAUUAUGUCCCUGCCCUUUGUACACACCGCCCGUCGCUACUACUGAUUGGGUGUUCAAGUGAGAUGCUUAGACCCUUGUUGCAUGGUUCAUUAUUGUGCUCCGAAAGGAAAAAGUUUCAAGCUUGAGUGUCUAGAGGAAGUAAAAGUCGUAACA